This 373-nucleotide ribosomal RNA is filed under the name uncultured bacterium. Its description in RNAcentral is "bacterial SSU rRNA". It matches the Rfam family "Bacterial small subunit ribosomal RNA", at positions 28 to 404 of the family's 1533-position model. The record is from RNAcentral.
GACGAACGCUGGCGGCGUGCUUAACACAUGCAAGUCGAGCGGUAAGGCCCUUUCGGGGGUACACGAGCGGCGAACGGGUGAGUAACACGUGGGUGACCUGCCCUCAGCUCUGGGAUAAGCCUGGGAAACCGGGUCUAAUACCGGAUAUGACUCCAUGACGCAUGUUGUGGGGUGAAAGCCUUGUGCGGCUGAGGAUGGGCCCGCGGCCUAUCAGCUUGUUGGUGGGGUGAUGGCCUACCAAGGCGACGACGGGUAGCCGGCCUGAGAGGGCGACCGGCCACACUGGGACUGAGACACGGCCCAGACUCCUACGGGAGGCAGCAGUGGGGAAUCUUGCGCAAUGGGCGAAGCCUGACGCAGCGACGCCGCGUGA